GACGAACGCUGGCGGCGUGCUUAACACAUGCAAGUCGAACGGAAAGGCCCCUUUGGGGGUACUCGAGUGGCGAACGGGUGAGUAACACGUGAGUAACCUGCCCUUGACUUCGGGAUAACUUCAGGAAACUGGGGCUAAUACCGGAUAGGAAUCCUUGCUGCAUGGUGGGGGUUGGAAAGCUUCGGCGGUUUUGGAUGGACUCGCGGCUUAUCAGCUUGUUGGUGGGGUAGUGGCUUACCAAGGCUUUGACGGGUAGCCGGCCUGAGAGGGCGACCGGCCACAUUGGGACUGGGGUACGGCCCAGACUCCUAGGGGGGGCAGCGGUGGGGAAUUUUGCACAAGGGGGGGAAGCCUGAUGCAGCAACGCCGGGUGCGGGAUGACGGCCUUCGGGUUGUAAACCGUUUUCAGCAGGGGGGAAGUUUGUGGGGACGGUACCGGCAGAAGAAGCACCGGCUAACUACGU
RNAcentral lists this ribosomal RNA (464 nucleotides) under uncultured bacterium. RNAcentral's name for it is "partial 16S ribosomal RNA". It matches the Rfam family "Bacterial small subunit ribosomal RNA", at positions 28 to 506 of the family's 1533-position model. The record is from RNAcentral.